This is a non-coding RNA of Podarcis lilfordi (Lilford's wall lizard), 80 nucleotides long. The record is from the annotation of a GenBank genome assembly. Lineage: Eukaryota; Metazoa; Chordata; Lepidosauria; Squamata; Lacertidae.
UGUGUGUGUGUGUGUGUGUGUGUGUGUGUGUGUGUGCACAUGCAGGUAUACACACAUACAUGCACACCCAUACAAAAAUA